UCCUCAGUAGCUCAGUGGUAGAGCGUCCGACUGUUAAUCGGAUGGUCGCUGGUUCGAGCCCAGCCUGGGGAG
This 72-nucleotide transfer RNA is filed under the name Oscillatoriales cyanobacterium SM2_2_1. RNAcentral's name for it is "tRNA-Asn". It matches the Rfam family "tRNA". From Rfam's summary of the family: Transfer RNA (tRNA) molecules are approximately 80 nucleotides in length. Their secondary structure includes four short double-helical elements and three loops (D, anti-codon, and T loops). Lineage: Bacteria; Bacillati; Cyanobacteriota; Cyanophyceae; Oscillatoriales. The record is from RNAcentral.